This 426-nucleotide long non-coding RNA is filed under the name Equus asinus (donkey). RNAcentral's name for it is "lncRNA (ENSEASG00005035634.1)". The record is from RNAcentral. Lineage: Eukaryota; Metazoa; Chordata; Mammalia; Perissodactyla; Equidae.
ACCAAAGGCCACUCCAGGGCUGGCUGUGGAAGAAUGAAAAACCAAAAGAGAACAUUCCAGGCCGGUAACUCCAGUAAGACAGUUGCAUGCCGUGCACAGUAACUGUCACCUUCCCCAGUCCAGCAUUACAUGCUGUUGUAAAAACCAGCAGCUUUGCAUCGACAGACCACGCUUCUGGCCUUGCCUGGCAGGAGUGUGCUGCUCUGGGAACCUCUAAAACCCUGGACCAGCCCCCACACGCAGGAGAUGUGGAGUUUCCUUACUCGACUUCACAUGAGCGAAAGAUGAGGACACAGAUAGCUUCAAUGCCCUAAUGACACAGCAAGUUGCAGAACCUGGAUUCGAACCAAGUCAGACCUCACAACCCACGGCCCUUGUCCUUUCUGUGACUUCAAUAUUAUUAAAAUGAACUCUCUAUAAACGGAA